UGUCGACUAUUUCAGCCCAAAAAAUCAGCUACUUUAUUAAACCAGCGACUCACAACAACAACAAAAAAAAGUCAAAUUAAGGCGAGGUCAAAGGAGAGAGAAAAUGACUGGAGAGGAGAUCACUGGACCAGCGGCGCCGAAGAUGGUUCGUCUUUUGUCUUUCAUGGCUGCCGGAGUGAUAUGCACUUUUGCAAUCAACCAGUGGAGAAAAUUUGAGAGCAAAAGAGUUGAACAAAAUGAGAAUGAAUUGCUUGAUUCGCAGUCAAUUUCAAUUCAGAAAGAGCUCAAAUGAAUGUUUCUUUAAGUUGUUUUUAUGCCAUUGUUGUGAUUUUUUUUGUUUUUGUCAAGAGAUUGUUAGUGGAGUUUUGUGUGUAUUAUGGAAUUUUAAGUGUUUCCAAAUGAUUGGAAAUUGUUUCAGAGAGAUUGCAAGUUAUAGGAUUUGAUGAAUAUGAGAUUGUAAUUUUCUCUCUUU
Long non-coding RNA from Beta vulgaris subsp. vulgaris (sugar beet), 472 nucleotides. RefSeq lists it as uncharacterized. NCBI's taxonomy places the organism in Eukaryota, Viridiplantae, Streptophyta, Magnoliopsida, Caryophyllales, Amaranthaceae. The record is from RefSeq and is a predicted model, not a curated record. The transcript is spliced from 2 exons.